Molecule: ribosomal RNA, 252 nt
Filed under: uncultured bacterium
Lineage: Bacteria
Description: partial 16S ribosomal RNA
Rfam family: Bacterial small subunit ribosomal RNA
Source: RNAcentral
UACGUAGGGAGCAAGCGUUGUCCGGAAUCAUUGGGCGUAAAGCGCGCGUAGGUGGCCCCAUAAGUCCGCUGUGAAAGUCAAAGGCUCAACCUUUGAAAGCCGGUGGAUACUGUGGGACUAGAGUACGGAAGAGGCGAGUGGAAUUCCUGGUGUAGCGGUGGAAUGCGCAGAUAUCAGGAGGAACACCAAUAGCGAAGGCAGCUCGCUGGACGGUACUGACGCUGAGACGCGAAAGCGUGGGAGCAACAGGAU